GCUUGUCGACGAAUUCAGAUUAACGCGAAGAACCUUACCUGGUCUUGACAUCCAAUGAACUUUCUAGAGAUAGAUUGGUGCCUUCGGGAACAUUGAGACAGGUGCUGCAUGGCUGUCGUCAGCUCGUGUUGUGAAAUGUUGGGUUAAGUCCCGCAACGAGCGCAACCCUUGAUCUUAGUUGCCAGCAUUCAGUUGGGCACUCUAAGGUGACUGCCGGUGACAAACCGGAGGAAGGUGGGGAUGACGUCAAGUCAUCAUGCCCCUUAUGACCUGGGCUACACACGUGCUACAAUGGGCAGAACAAAGGGCAGCGAAGCCGCGAGGCUAAGCCAAUCCCACAAACCUGUUCUCAGUUCGGAUCGCAGUCUGCAACUCGACUGCGUGAAGCUGGAAUCGCUAGUAAUCGCGGAUCAGCAUGCCGCGGUGAAUACGUUCCCGGGCCUUGUACACACCG
Molecule: ribosomal RNA, 454 nt
Filed under: uncultured bacterium
Lineage: Bacteria
Description: bacterial SSU rRNA
Rfam family: Bacterial small subunit ribosomal RNA
Source: RNAcentral